This is a long non-coding RNA of Brachypodium distachyon (stiff brome), 1240 nucleotides long. RefSeq lists it as uncharacterized. The transcript is spliced from 2 exons. NCBI's taxonomy places the organism in Eukaryota, Viridiplantae, Streptophyta, Magnoliopsida, Poales, Poaceae. The record is from RefSeq and is a predicted model, not a curated record.
CAUUGAGGUCGAAGAAGGCUAAGUUGAAGCUGCAGAAGCGGGUAUAAAUGAAAUCUUCACGCUUAGGGUCGUACUCAGUGAUGUCUCUGCGGCAAACAAGGUGGAAUUUUUUUGCGGCACUAGCCCCCCGCUAACUUUUUUGACAAAUUUAGCCCCCUUCAAAACAAAAUUGCAAAAGCAGCCGGGUGGAAGGCCUUUCCGCCAAUGGCAUUGGCGAAAGGGGAGCAAAAGCGUUUUUCGAAACAAAUGCACAAACACUGUAUGUGUACCGCUACAGUGCGUGCUACAGUGCAUUCCGCCAAUGCCAUUGGCGGAAAGUCCAUAUAUAUCUUUCUGGGCUUUCCGUUAGGCUUGUUUUGUCAAUAGUUUUCAGAGAGGACCAGUAUUGACAAAAAACGUUGGAAGUGAGCCACUGCCCGCAAAAAAUUCAACAAGGUGGAGACCGUGCAGCACCUUCUCCUGUGCCGUGAGCUCUGGGUCCUCCCAUGUGAGCGCUGGUUCUGCAGGCUCCUCCAAUAACCGCUCCAUAUUCUGCUCCUCCGCCGUGUGUGCUGUGUCCGAAGAAGGGAUCACAACUCCAAUAAUUCGCGAUGCAUCAGAAGAUUGGGGAAUCAGGGGGAUCUGUCGAGGAGCGUAGGUACCUGUUGUCGACUCCCACCGUUGUCGAUUUGGAGAGUUUCUUGACGGAGCGUUGUCGAUUUGGAGAGCCAGCUUGGGCCGAUUCGUACUCGCACAGGGUGAUUUUUUUUUUUUGAGAACAAUGAUGAACAGGGUGAGUUAGAAUCGAAAAGAAAAGCCUGACCCCUUGCCUCCGCGGCGGCUGGAAGGAAUCGAGGCAGAGCUUGUUCCCAACCAAAUCGGAGAACGUACACGUUCGAGACGGAGAUCGACGGGCACAACAGACAUGGAGUCACACACGGCCGGCGGCGGAGCCACCGGUCGCCGAGAAGAAGGGUAAUGGAUGCAUGAAGCCGGACCCGGAGCCGGAAGCCCACGCCGGAGGAGAAGGCAACGAUACUUCUUUUUUAUCUUAAAUUAAAGUACAAAGAGGACAGUGCUCCGAUUGCUCGAUGCCUGUUCAACAGCAUCCACAGUAGUAAGCAAGUUGCUUCCAUCAGUUAACAUGCAUGGAAUGGAGCACAAUGUCCAAGUCAUUUCAAACAUAAAUAUCAAGUCCCUUAACUUAGGAGAGCUUGUACAACUUGCACCACUGACUACAUGUAAAAAGAACAAGUGCAAA